UACGUAGGGGCCUAGCGUUGUCCGGAUUUAUUGGGCGUAAAGAGCUCGUAGGCGGUUUGGUGAGUCGGGUGUGAAAUCUCCACGCUCAACGUGGAGGGGCCACCCGAUACUGCCAUGACUAGAGUCCGGUAGGGGAGUGUGGAAUUCCCGGUGUAGCGGUGAAAUGCGCAGAUAUCUGGAGGAACACCGGUGGCGAAGGCGGCAGCCUGGACCGGCAUUGACGCUGAGGCGCGAAAGCCAGGGGAGCAAACGGG
RNAcentral lists this ribosomal RNA (254 nucleotides) under uncultured bacterium. RNAcentral describes it as "partial 16S ribosomal RNA". It matches the Rfam family "Bacterial small subunit ribosomal RNA", at positions 524 to 776 of the family's 1533-position model. The record is from RNAcentral.